RNAcentral lists this unclassified non-coding RNA (307 nucleotides) under uncultured fungus. RNAcentral's name for it is "partial internal transcribed spacer 1". The record is from RNAcentral. Lineage: Eukaryota; Fungi.
GCAGAUCAACUACCUGGGUAUGGCCAUACCGAUCGCGCAAAGAAAGAAAGGCGCUAUUGUGCAAUAAACGAUCGAUAGCAGGAAGCUGGCUGUAGAGUGUACGCGUUUCGCUUGUCAUGAAAAUGCCUGGCUGUUGGUGGCCCUCUCCUGGUGGGAGAGGGAUAUCGACAUAAGGGGGAUUGUAACGUGAGUUUGCUCAGGCGGACAUAAUGCGCGUCAAGCCUUUGGCGCUUCGGUGCGGGCAAAGCUUUCGCGUUGAAAAAGCGUUUCGACCAGUUUGACCAGGUGGGGGCGGCUAACACACCAG